AGUGAACGCUGGCGGUAGGCCUAACACAUGCAAGUCGAACGGCAGCACAGUAAGAGCUUGCUCUUACGGGUGGCGAGUGGCGGACGGGUGAGGAAUACAUCGGAAUCUACUUUUUCGUGGGGGAUAACGUAGGGAAACUUACGCUAAUACCGCAUACGACCUACGGGUGAAAGCAGGGGAUCUUCGGACCUUGCGCGAUUGAAUGAGCCGAUGUCGGAUUAGCUAGUUGGCGGGGUAAAGGCCCACCAAGGCGACGAUCCGUAGCUGGUCUGAGAGGAUGAUCAGCCACACUGGAACUGAGACACGGUCCAGACUCCUACGGGAGGCAGCAGUGGGGAAUAUUGGACAAGGGGCGCAAGCCUGAUCCAGCCAUACCGCGUGGGUGAAGAAGGCCUUCGGGUUGGAAAGCCCUUUUGUUGGGAAAGAAAAGCAGCAGGUUAAUACCCCGCUGUUCUGACGGUACCCAAAGAAUAAGCACCGGCUAACUUCGUG
RNAcentral lists this ribosomal RNA (492 nucleotides) under uncultured bacterium. RNAcentral's name for it is "partial 16S ribosomal RNA". It matches the Rfam family "Bacterial small subunit ribosomal RNA", at positions 29 to 507 of the family's 1533-position model. The record is from RNAcentral.